RNAcentral lists this ribosomal RNA (253 nucleotides) under uncultured bacterium. Its description in RNAcentral is "partial 16S ribosomal RNA". It matches the Rfam family "Bacterial small subunit ribosomal RNA", at positions 524 to 776 of the family's 1533-position model. The record is from RNAcentral.
GACGGAGGAUGCAAGUGUUAUCCGGAAUCACUGGGCGUAAAGCGUCUGUAGGUGGUUUAAUAAGUCAACUGUUAAAUCUUGAGGCUCAACCUCAAAAUCGCAGUCGAAACUAUUAGGCUAGAGUAUAGUAGGGGUAAAGGGAAUUUCCAGUGGAGCGGUGAAAUGCGUAGAGAUUGGGAAGAACACCGGUGGCGAAGGCGGCGACCUGGUCCGAGACUGACGCUGAGGCGCGAAAGCGUGGGGAGCAAACAGG